Molecule: long non-coding RNA, 147 nt
Organism: Salvelinus namaycush (lake trout)
Lineage: Eukaryota; Metazoa; Chordata; Actinopteri; Salmoniformes; Salmonidae
Exons: 3
Source: RefSeq, a predicted model, not a curated record
GCAACUGCGAAAAGAAAUGGCUGAGGAUAUACUAAAAAUGUCUGAGUUCAACAAAGCCAACAACUGCUUCAUGUGUGCCACUGAUAAAGAACCUGGAUGUGGCCCAAAGACUGACUGGGAAUGAAGACAAAAGAGUUCAACAGAGUA